UAGGGAAUCUUCGGCAAUGGACGAAAGUCUGACCGAGCAACGCCGCGUGAGUGAAGAAGGUUUUCGGAUCGUAAAACUCUGUUGUUAGAGAAGAACAAGGACGUUAGUAACUGAACGUCCCCUGACGGUAUCUAGCCAGAAAGCCACGGCUAACUACGUGCCAGCAGCCGCGGUAAUACGUAGGUGGCAAGCGUUGUCCGGAUUUAUUGGGCGUAAAGCGAGCGCAGGCGGUUUCUUAAGUCUGAUGUGAAAGCCCCCGGCUCAACCGGGGAGGGUCAUUGGAAACUGGGAGACUUGAGUGCAGAAGAGGAGAGUGGAAUUCCAUGUGUAGCGGUGAAAUGCGUAGAUAUAUGGAGGAACACCAGUGGCGAAGGCGGCUCUCUGGUCUGUAACUGACGCUGAGGCGCGAAAGCGUGGGGAGCAAACAGG
Molecule: ribosomal RNA, 429 nt
Filed under: Gemmatimonadota bacterium
Lineage: Bacteria; Pseudomonadati; Gemmatimonadota
Description: Gemmatimonadetes bacterium partial 16S ribosomal RNA
Rfam family: Bacterial small subunit ribosomal RNA
Source: RNAcentral